AAAACCUUUUAAAUGAAGUCCAGAGAGGCUUGAAAGGGUUGCGGAGAGAGAAGUGCAAAAAAGCGCAUUCUCUGAUUCACUGUACCCCAAGCCGUUAUGGCCUGGGGUUUUUUUACG
Molecule: non-coding RNA, 117 nt
Organism: Bacillus licheniformis
Lineage: Bacteria; Bacillati; Bacillota; Bacilli; Caryophanales; Bacillaceae
Source: Rfam